CUAUAUGCAGAUAUGAAACAUCUUUAAACACCACAUCAGCAGACAGACACGUGUGAGCUUUGACUUCGUUUGGGGACAACAUGGAGAGAAAUAAUGUCAAAACCGUCAAAACAUGUGCCUUUGAUAGAUAACGCACAUAACAGAGAUGUGUGCAGCAAUUUGCAACACUUGUAAGUUUGUGUAAGCGAUACAAAAUGAGUAAAGUUGCAUGUUUUCCUCGAGGAUAUGGUAACUUAGUAAGCACAACAGCUCAAAAACACUAAAGGGUAGUAAUAAUUCAAAAACACAAACCUUACAGAAGAGCUUCAACGACCUGCUGGUGGGGUAAGAGUCUGUUUGUCACUCAUAUGUCAGACAGUUAUCUAAGGGAGCUGCUGAUCAAGCAUCGCCCACGGAUGGGUGCAUAACACCACCCACUCCACAAUCAAACAAUGUCUGAAUGUUAUCUCAUUUGUAACAUGUACCCCUGUGAUUGUCAAUGAAUGGAUCGGCCAUCAGUGAUAAUGGUGAGGAGGAGGAGAAGCUGGAGGUUGUAUCAUGACCCCCAGAUGAGGAAAAACUGUGAGAUCUCACUCUGAGGAAAAUUCCAGCAUGUUGUAAAUUAUGUCUCCCCACACCCUGACCCCCUGGAAGAGAAAACAUUGAACAACUUGCACAUGCAGUCUCUCAGAGUGAAAACAGCAGACGGGAUGGGGAUGAGUCUUCCAGGGUUUUCAGUGUUCAGACUUCAGUGUACAGUUGUGUUGUGGCAACAGAGCGGGCCGUCCCCUCGCAGAGUGAGUGUGGAGAGAUCAACAAUCUGGAAGAACAGAAAGACAGA
Molecule: long non-coding RNA, 820 nt
Organism: Notolabrus celidotus (New Zealand spotty)
Lineage: Eukaryota; Metazoa; Chordata; Actinopteri; Labriformes; Labridae
Exons: 3
Source: RefSeq, a predicted model, not a curated record